This 253-nucleotide ribosomal RNA is filed under the name uncultured bacterium. RNAcentral's name for it is "partial 16S ribosomal RNA". It matches the Rfam family "Bacterial small subunit ribosomal RNA", at positions 524 to 776 of the family's 1533-position model. The record is from RNAcentral.
UACAGAGGUCCCAAGCGUUGUUCGGAUUCAUUGGGCGUAAAGGGUGCGUAGGCGGCAGGGUAAGUUGGAUGUGAAAUCCUGGGGCUCAACCUCAGAACUGCAUUCAAUACUGCUUUGCUAGAGUACUGGAGAGGAGAUUGGAAUUCACGGUGUAGCAGUGAAAUGCGUAGAUAUCGUGAGGAAGACCAGUGGCGAAGGCGAAUCUCUGGACAGUUACUGACGCUGAGGCACGAAGGCCAGGGGAGCAAACGGG